UACGUAGGGUGCAAGCGUUUGUCCGGAAUUAUUGGGCGUAAAGAGCUCGUAGGCGGUCUGUCGCGUCGGCUGUGAAAACCCGGAGCUCAACUCCGGGCCUGCAGUCGAUACGGGCAGACUGGAGUUCGGCAGGGGGAGACUGGAAUUCCUGGUGUAGCGGUGGAAUGCGCAGAUAUCAGGAAGAACACCGAUGGCGAAGGCAGAAUCUCUGGGCCGUAACUGACGCUGAGGAGCGAAAGCAUGGGGAGCGAACAGG
This 256-nucleotide ribosomal RNA is filed under the name uncultured bacterium. Its description in RNAcentral is "partial 16S ribosomal RNA". It matches the Rfam family "Bacterial small subunit ribosomal RNA", at positions 524 to 776 of the family's 1533-position model. The record is from RNAcentral.